This 550-nucleotide ribosomal RNA is filed under the name uncultured bacterium. Its description in RNAcentral is "bacterial SSU rRNA". It matches the Rfam family "Bacterial small subunit ribosomal RNA", at positions 355 to 896 of the family's 1533-position model. The record is from RNAcentral.
UGGGGAAUCUUCCGCAAUGGACGAAAGUCUGACGGAGCAAUGCCACGUGAGUGAUGACGGCCUUCGGGUUGUAAAGCUCUGUUAAUCGGGACGAAAGGUCUUCUUGCGAAUAGUUAGAAGAAUUGACGGUACCGGAAUAGAAAGCCACGGCUAACUACGUGCCAGCAGCCGCGGUAAUACGUAGGUGGCAAGCGUUGUCCGGAAUUAUUGGGCGUAAAGCGCGCGCAGGCGGAUCAGUUAGUCUGUCUUAAAAGUUCGGGGCUUAACCCCGUGAUGGGAUGGAAACUGCUGAUCUAGAGUAUCGGAGAGGAAAGUGGAAUUCCUAGUGUAGCGGUGAAAUGCGUAGAUAUUAGGAAGAACACCAGUGGCGAAGGCGACUUUCUGGACGAAAACUGACGCUGAGGCGCGAAAGCCAGGGGAGCGAACGGGAUUAGAUACCCCGGUAGUCCUGGCCGUAAACGAUGGGUACUAGGUGUAGGAGGUAUCGACCCCUUCUGUGCCGGAGUUAACGCAAUAAGUACCCCGCCUGGGGAGUACGACCGCAAGGUUG